GUUGCAGGCCAAUUUUGGCCCAAAUACAACCCAAUUACUCAAACCCCUUAAAACCCAAUACAAAACAGCCAAAACUACUAACCCUAGCCCAGACCAAUAAUAAAAAAUAGCAAAGAAAAAAAGAACCCUGGCCACCCCAUGAUGUUUGCCACCCCACGCCUCUGCAGCACCAUUCCCAGGCAUCACACACUCCCACCAACUCCUCCAUACCCUGCAAAAUGAAACAAACACCAAGACAGAAGUAGACAACACAAGAGCAGUAGCAAGAGGCUUAAAAUAUCGUUUUGAAAUGG
This 293-nucleotide long non-coding RNA is filed under the name Gossypium barbadense (sea-island cotton). RNAcentral describes it as "long non-coding RNA (GBAR_LNC011864)". The record is from RNAcentral. Lineage: Eukaryota; Viridiplantae; Streptophyta; Magnoliopsida; Malvales; Malvaceae.